Molecule: non-coding RNA, 95 nt
Organism: Triticum urartu
Lineage: Eukaryota; Viridiplantae; Streptophyta; Magnoliopsida; Poales; Poaceae
Source: Rfam
GGCAACAAUGACUCAAUGAGAGUAUUAGCAGACUUGUAAUUAUUCUUACGGGAAUAAUCAGAAGAUUCAAAUCACAUCCAAGGGAUUGAGUUGUA